GACGAACGCUGGCGGCGUGCCUAAUACAUGCAAGUUGAGCGCUGAAGGUUGGUACUUGUACCAACUGGAUGAGCAGCGAACGGGUGAGUAACGCGUGGGGAAUCUGCCUUUGAGCGGGGGACAACAUUUGGAAACGAAUGCUAAUACCGCAUAAAAACUUUAAACACAAGUUUUAAGUUUGAAAGAUGCAAUUGCAUCACUCAAAGAUGGUCCCGCGUUGUAUUAGCUAGUUGGUGAGGUAAAGGCUCACCAAGGCGACGAUACAUAGCCGACCUGAGAGGGUGAUCGGCCACAUUGGGACUGAGACACGGCCCAAACUCCUACGGGAGGCAGCAGUAGGGAAUCUUCGGCAAUGGACGAAAGUCUGACCGAGCAACGCCGCGUGAGUGAAGAAGGUUUUCGGAUCGUAAAACUCUGUUGGUAGAGAAGAACGUUGGUGAGAGUGGAAAGCUCAUCAAGUGACGGUAACUACCCAGAAAGGGACGGCUAACUACGUG
Molecule: ribosomal RNA, 497 nt
Filed under: uncultured bacterium
Lineage: Bacteria
Description: partial 16S ribosomal RNA
Rfam family: Bacterial small subunit ribosomal RNA
Source: RNAcentral